This 483-nucleotide ribosomal RNA is filed under the name uncultured beta proteobacterium. RNAcentral's name for it is "bacterial SSU rRNA". It matches the Rfam family "Bacterial small subunit ribosomal RNA", at positions 9 to 490 of the family's 1533-position model. The record is from RNAcentral. Lineage: Bacteria; Pseudomonadati; Pseudomonadota; Betaproteobacteria.
GAGUUUGAUCCUGGCUCAGAUUGAACGCUGGCGGCAUGCCUUACACAUGCAAGUCGAACGGUAACGCGGGGGCAACCCUGGCGACGAGUGGCGAACGGGUGAGUAAUACAUCGGAACGUGUCCUGGAGUGGGGGAUAGCUCGGCGAAAGCCGGAUUAAUACCGCAUACGCUCUGAGGAGGAAAGCGGGGGACCUUCGGGCCUCGCGCUGCGGGAGCGGCCGAUGUCGGAUUAGCUAGUUGGUGGGGUAAAGGCCUACCAAGGCGACGAUCCGUAGCUGGUCUGAGAGGAUGAUCAGCCACACUGGGACUGAGACACGGCCCAGACUCCUACGGGAGGCAGCAGUGGGGAAUUUUGGACAAUGGGGGCAACCCUGAUCCAGCCAUGCCGCGUGAGUGAAGAAGGCCUUGGUUGUAAAGCUCUUCGUACGGAACGAACGGUUACGGUGGAACAAUCGUGACUAAUGACGGUACCGUAAGAAGAAG